RNAcentral lists this ribosomal RNA (383 nucleotides) under uncultured bacterium. RNAcentral's name for it is "bacterial SSU rRNA". It matches the Rfam family "Bacterial small subunit ribosomal RNA", at positions 28 to 416 of the family's 1533-position model. The record is from RNAcentral.
GACGAACGCUGGCGGCGUGCUUAACACAUGCAAGUCGAGCGGAAAGGCCCUUCGGGGUACUCGAGCGGCGAACGGGUGAGUAACACGUGAGUAACCUGCCCCAGACUUUGGGAUAACCCUCGGAAACGGGGGCUAAUACCGGAUACGACACUUCAUCGCAUGGUGUGAGUGUGGAAAGUUUUUCGGUUUGGGAUGGGCUCGCGGCCUAUCAGCUUGUUGGUGGGGUGAUGGCCUACCAAGGCGACGACGGGAGCCGGCCUGAGAGGGCGACCGGCCACACUGGGACUGAGACACGGCCCAGACUCCUACGGGAGGCAGCAGGUGGGAAUAUUGCACAAUGGGCGGAAGCCUGAUGCAGCGACGCCGCGUGAGGGAUGACGGCC